Molecule: ribosomal RNA, 119 nt
Filed under: Lepisosteus oculatus (spotted gar)
Lineage: Eukaryota; Metazoa; Chordata; Actinopteri; Semionotiformes; Lepisosteidae
Source: RNAcentral
GCUAGCAGCUGUACCACAUCUGCAAGUCCCAGCUGGCAGCCCACUGGAGCUCAGCAGGUGUGAGCCUGGCCAGUACCUGGAUGGGAGACCUCCCGGGAAAACUAUGGUUGCUGCUGGAA